UAACGCGAAGAACCUUACCUACUCUUGACAUCCAGAGAACUUAGCAGAGAUGCUUUGGUGCCUUCGGGAACUCUGAGACAGGUGCUGCAUGGCUGUCGUCAGCUCGUGUUGUGAAAUGUUGGGUUAAGUCCCGCAACGAGCGCAACCCUUAUCCUUUGUUGCCAGCGGUCCGGCCGGGAACUCAAAGGAGACUGCCAGUGAUAAACUGGAGGAAGGUGGGGAUGACGUCAAGUCAUCAUGGCCCUUACGAGUAGGGCUACACACGUGCUACAAUGGCGCAUACAAAGAGAAGCGACCUCGCGAGAGCAAGCGGACCUCAUAAAGUGCGUCGUAGUCCGGAUUGGAGUCUGCAACUCGACUCCAUGAAGUCGGAAUCGCUAGUAAUCGUAGAUCAGAAUGCUACGGUGAAUACGUUCCCGGGUCUUGUACACACCA
RNAcentral lists this ribosomal RNA (435 nucleotides) under uncultured bacterium. RNAcentral's name for it is "bacterial SSU rRNA". It matches the Rfam family "Bacterial small subunit ribosomal RNA", at positions 957 to 1392 of the family's 1533-position model. The record is from RNAcentral.